AUGAUGUCCAGACUCUUUUUUGGGGUACCAAGUGUGACAUCCAAAAUGGUCAUUUUCAGUUGAAGAUAUCUAAUCAAAAGAUAAACUUAGUCAAAUUCAAAUGGCCAUAAUUGAUAAAGCAACAUUUGUUUAAUAACAAAACAGUAAUGGGAUAGCAAAUGAAAAGAGGCUUCAUAUCAUAAAUCAUUCCUACAACUCGGCAUACCACCGUUACAUGCGAUGUCCGCGUUUAUUUUUUUCUGUAACGGCGGUAAAGUGGUAAAUAACUAUAAGUCAGAUAUCAUUUUUUCCAAAGUUAUGUGUCAGAAAUAAAGGGCAGGCAGUAAGCAACUUUUCAUCAAAAGAUUAGCUUUGAAAACCUAUGAUAAUGUCAUUUAAAUUAAUCGAGUGUCGCCGAUGUUUUGGGCGAUGUCCGGGUCAAAUUUGUAACGGUGGAUCACAUUUCAUCGCGUAUGUAAGAAGGAGACACCGGAGAAGAGACCGUCGUUGUAUCAGACGGACGGGAUGUUAGCCGCGAUCCACAUGCACAUGAACAGCCACGAUGUCGGGCGUUUUGAAGCAUCGCAGUUGGGAAUCUUCCUGCGAUGUCCGUGAAACGGUGGAUUGGAUCUCCACGAUGUUUUCCCUUUCAAAGCAACGUAGCCUCUGUUGAAGGUUAAAAUGUAUAUCUUCAGUACAUGAAGUGUCAAUCUGGUGACCUGUACUCCUGGCCUGAUGGCGAGGCACAAUUCUACCUCUAUCCAUUGGGUCACCGAUCUUCUUGAAGUUCAUAAACUUGUAACCUGAAUGCAGAGAGAAAUAUUGCAUGUUAUUUCUAAUAGUCAGGUUUAGUGUACAGUGUAAUACAUUUUUUUACAUUUGCCAGUAAGAAGUUUACCAUAUAGUUUUUAACUAAAGGAAAAGAUUGUACUUUGCAGUUUUAUACUUGAACAUUUAUUAGAAUAGCUUAGUAGAAAUAGUACAUUUUACUCUCUCAUUCACAACUCUAUGUUCAAACAACAGGUGUAAGUUUUUUUAUUCAAUUUGUCCACUAAGUACUUUACAAUUGUCCUUUUGGCAUGCUGGAACUUAAUGUUUUAUCCAAUGCAUCUAUUCCAGUGAUGACAUGAUUAUAUUUUAAUUAAAGUCACUUAGAACUACAAUACCAUGUAACUGAGGUAAAACAAAUUAGAGUAAACAAAUUGAACAAGUUAUAUGUGUAAGGUAUUAAUGCAUUGUCCAUGAAUUGCAUGCCAACUUUGUCUUGUUUUGUCUUGAAAAACCAUAGCUUAGAAGAACUAAACUAGUACCUUUUCCCUACAUCUUUUUCACCCGAGUAUUGUAUCAAAGGUAUCAAAAUUAUAAUCGUGUACAUGUAUGAAU
This 1362-nucleotide long non-coding RNA is filed under the name Lytechinus variegatus (green sea urchin). RNAcentral describes it as "uncharacterized LOC121407621". The record is from RNAcentral. Lineage: Eukaryota; Metazoa; Echinodermata; Echinoidea; Temnopleuroida; Toxopneustidae.